Molecule: long non-coding RNA, 499 nt
Organism: Helianthus annuus (common sunflower)
Lineage: Eukaryota; Viridiplantae; Streptophyta; Magnoliopsida; Asterales; Asteraceae
Exons: 2
Source: RefSeq, a predicted model, not a curated record
AUACCCCCAUUUCAUCAACAAGCAGUUAAUUGGCAGUAGCGGCGACAACAAGAUCAGGAAGAUUAAUGGCAACCCCAACCCCAUUUCACUUUAAAACACCCCACGGUCCCCGUUCUUUCUGGAGAUUAAUGGCAGUAGCGGCGGCAACAAGAUCAGGAAGACAGAGCAGCACCGCCACUCCCGGCGGCGACAGUGGCGGCGGAGCACGGCGGCGACGGCAGAGGCACUACGGCGGACCAUCGAAGCCUCCGGUUUGUAGUCCCUCGAAGCAGCAGAUGUGCAUAAGAUUCGAGAGGUGAACUGCUUGGAUCUGCUUAUGUUUCUAGAUUUCAUGAUUGAAUGAGGCGCAUUUCUGAACUUAAUGUAAUAAAACAGGGUGCAUCAAACUUAGUCAUUUUCUGGGUUACCUUUCUAGAGUGUGUGGCGCAUUUCUUGAGGCAAGUGGCUAAAUGCAUCAAAUUGGGUUAUUAAUCUAGAAAUUGGGUGUUGAAAAUUUGGA